RNAcentral lists this unclassified non-coding RNA (239 nucleotides) under Pyrenopeziza sp. RNAcentral describes it as "partial contains 5.8S ribosomal RNA, internal transcribed spacer 2, and large subunit ribosomal RNA". The stretch from base 1 to 52 matches the Rfam family "5.8S ribosomal RNA", at positions 103 to 154 of the family's 154-position model. Lineage: Eukaryota; Fungi; Ascomycota; Leotiomycetes; Helotiales; Ploettnerulaceae. RNAcentral also lists the same sequence under 2 other names. The record is from RNAcentral.
AACGCACAUUGCGCCCGCUGGUAUUCCGGCGGGCAUGCCUGUUCGAGCGUCAUUAUGACCAACUCACGCUCCGCGUGGUCUUGGGGUCCGCUGUCACGGCGGCCCCUAAACGCAGUGGCGGUGCCGUGCGGCUCUCAGCGUAGUAAUUUAUCUCGCUACAGGGUCCGGACGGUGCUGGCCAGCAACCCCAACUUCUUUAGGUUGACCUCGGAUCAGGUAGGGAUACCCGCUGAACUUAA